This 27-nucleotide non-coding RNA is filed under the name Mus musculus (house mouse). The record is from RNAcentral. Lineage: Eukaryota; Metazoa; Chordata; Mammalia; Rodentia; Muridae.
UGGUAGGUGUUACUUUAAGAACUGCAG